RNAcentral lists this ribosomal RNA (309 nucleotides) under Ophiothrix fragilis. Its description in RNAcentral is "partial 16S ribosomal RNA". It matches the Rfam family "Bacterial large subunit ribosomal RNA", at positions 1994 to 2534 of the family's 2925-position model. Lineage: Eukaryota; Metazoa; Echinodermata; Ophiuroidea; Amphilepidida; Ophiotrichidae. The record is from RNAcentral.
CAACGGCUUGACGAUAAGAAAGCUGUCUCUCUUUACUAAAUUCUGAAGUUAGCUGGAUAGUGAAGAGACUCUCUUAGCAAAGCGGGACGAGAAGACCCCGUUGAGCUUUAGUAAAAAUUGUUUAUUAAAAACUUGAUUACUUGAGUUGGGGCAACUAUCUUUCUUUUUUAAAACAAAGAUAAAAAUGUUUUGAGUUGAUUCUUUUAUGACCCUUAAUCUUAGGAAUAGUAGAAAAAGUUACCACGGGGAUAACAGCGUAAUUUUUUUUGAGAGUUCUUAUUGACAAAAAAGUUUGCGACCUCGAUGUUG